CCUACGGGUGGCAGCAGUGAGGAAUCUUGGUCAAUGGACGCAAGUCUGAACCAGCCAUGCCGCGUGCAGGAAGACGGCUCUAUGAGUUGGAAACUGCUUUUGUACGAGGGUAAAUCCCGAUACUUGCAUCGGGUUGAAAGUAUCGUACGAAUAAGGCUAGGCUAACUCCGGGCCAGAAGCCGCGGUAAUACGGAGGAUUCAAGUGUUAUCCGGAUUUAUUGGGUUGAAAGGGUGCGUAGGCGGUUCGGUAAGUUAGAGGUGAAAUCCCGGGGCUCAACUCCGUCACUGCCUCUGAUACUGUCGGGCUAGAGUGUAGUUGCGGUAGGCGGAAUGUAUGGUGUAGCGGUGAAAUGCGUAGAGAUCAUACAGAACACCGAUUGCGAAGGCAGCUUACCAAACUACGACUGACGUUGAGGCACGAAAGCGUGGGGAGCAAACAGGAUUAGAUACCCGAGUAGUC
Molecule: ribosomal RNA, 460 nt
Filed under: uncultured bacterium
Lineage: Bacteria
Description: partial 16S ribosomal RNA
Rfam family: Bacterial small subunit ribosomal RNA
Source: RNAcentral